RNAcentral lists this ribosomal RNA (515 nucleotides) under uncultured bacterium. Its description in RNAcentral is "partial 16S ribosomal RNA". It matches the Rfam family "Bacterial small subunit ribosomal RNA", at positions 28 to 523 of the family's 1533-position model. The record is from RNAcentral.
GAUGAACGCUGGCGGCGUGCCUAAUACAUGCAAGUCGAGCGAAUGGAUUAAGAGCUUGCUCUUAUGAAGUUAGCGGCGGACGGGUGAGUAACACGUGGGUAACCUGCCCAUAAGACUGGGAUAACUCCGGGAAACCGGGGCUAAUACCGGAUAACAUUUUGAACCGCAUGGUUCGAAAUUGAAAGGCGGCUGCGGCUGUCACUUAUGGAUGGACCCGCGUCGCAUUAGCUAGUUGGUGAGGUAACGGCUCACCAAGGCAACGAUGCGUAGCCGACCUGAGAGGGUGAUCGGCCACACUGGGACUGAGACACGGCCCAGACUCCUACGGGAGGCAGCAGUAGGGAAUCUUCCGCAAUGGACGAAAGUCUGAUGGAGCAACGCCGCGUGAGUGAUGAAGGCUUUCGGGUCGUGAAACUCUGUUGUUAGGGAAGAACAAGUGCUAGUUGAAUAAGCUGACACCUUGACGGUACCUAACCAGAAAGCCACGGCUAACUACGUGCCAGCAGCCGCGGUAA